AACCCAACCCCUAUCCUAUUUUCCCGUCGUCUUCUUCGCCUCUCUGCCCGUAACCCCUUGGCCCUUACUACCUCCCUCUACAGAAAUGGAAAGCAUGCCAAAAUCAUCCACCUAAAACCUCUACCUCUCAUCCCCAACAGCAAAACUCCUAAUCGUCUACAAAUUCCACUUUUGAACAGCGCAAAUCGAAUAAUCAAAAUCUGCAAAACAUUGUAUCUAUAACUUCUUCGAUUUUCAGAUAUCACAGACGAAGCCUUCGGAGCAAAGAUGGUAUACUAUAAGCUAAUCUUCCGGAGGGACGCGGACAUCUCAAAAGGGUUUUAGUUCACCGGAUUUAUCUACCAGCGAGAGCUGGGUAGCACUUCUCCAGGUUUAAUUUCAGAUGAUACCCCAAAGUCGAGCAGGUGCAAUAACACAGAAUUCCAAUUCCAUAGUUGCUUUGUAAGGAAUCAACUUGAGAAUUCUAAGAAUUAAGGAUGGUGCAGAAUUCAGCUCAGUCUUUCAUGAAACAAAGGAAUUUUGGAGGAAGAAGAACAUGGGGACACUGAAGUAUGUAAUGAAACGCCCAUCCUGCAAAACUGAUAUAUCUGAUUUUCUACAGAAUCCACAGGCUUUCAAACUGGAGAGGAAGAAGACACACACAAAGAGUUGAUAGCUGACACAAAGAAGAGAAAGUGUGUUAGAGCUUCAAUUGAAAUGUUGGCUUUCAUCCACCACUUAAAGAUAGCUGCUUCCUCUCCAGCAAGGCUUCAGGAAUCACUGCUGCCCUAAGAUCGCAUAUCAUUUCAUCAUUCUCCUCCAAAGUUGUGAAGACUUAUUUAUAGUGUCCUAGGUCUUGAAGAUGGCAACAGUCAUCUUCAAUUUAAAUUCAUAUUGCAUUUCCCCAUGUAUUUAAUAUCAAUGUUAUGUUGAAAAAUAAUUCUGAUAUGUAAGCAAAAGCAACCUUUCGGAUUCCAAGACAUCUAGAAUCCAAAAUAUGUUUAAUGAAUUUGAAUUCCCCAAAAAAUGCCUAAAACGGCGUAGUUUUCAUUGGGCGGGAAAACGGAAUUUUUUUUA
Ipomoea triloba (trilobed morning glory) is the source of this 1056-nucleotide long non-coding RNA. RefSeq lists it as uncharacterized. The transcript is spliced from 7 exons. The record is from RefSeq and is a predicted model, not a curated record. Lineage: Eukaryota; Viridiplantae; Streptophyta; Magnoliopsida; Solanales; Convolvulaceae.